This is an RNA transcript of Vigna unguiculata (cowpea), 1341 nucleotides long. RefSeq lists it as uncharacterized. NCBI's taxonomy places the organism in Eukaryota, Viridiplantae, Streptophyta, Magnoliopsida, Fabales, Fabaceae. The record is from RefSeq and is a predicted model, not a curated record.
UAUAACACACCCUCCCCUCCCUUUCCUCUUAUAAAUUUGAUGGAUUUUUCACCAUCAAACUUAAAAGCAUGAAGGCACUUAAAGGCAUGAAAGUAGCUUACCGUAGUCUUAUAACAUUUCUGUUAACUUGUAUCGCAAUCAAGUAUGGAGUCUCCAAGAUCAAUCCUCUCCAGGGACCAACCCUGUCGCUUCUCGUCACAGCUGUGUCUUCCCAUGUUAUAGCUUCCGCCACUGACAUGGACAAACCAAACACCAUCAUAACAUUUUAUUUGUCAGGGACAGUUGCAUGUGAAACACUCCUGUGGAUUCUCAUUGAUCAACUUUCCUUGUUCUGUCUCAUUAACUUCCUUCUUAUAGUAAUAGUCGAAUUCUUGUUCUUUCACCCCCUCACCAAGUUGCUCCUUCCCUACUUCAACUCCAUCACUCACCUGCUCUCUGGAACAUCUCCAAAUACAGAACCGCAACCGCAGGACUCCCAGGUAUUGAGGCACACCAACUACUAGUUUUACACCUGUUGGAUUGUCAAAUACGAUUUGUCCCUUUACUUUGGCCUCAAGUGUUCUACAUCACCCUAUCUUCCUCAGUAGGUCUUGUCUGGUUUCAUGGAAUUGUUUGAAUGACAAAGAAGGAAUGAUACCAUUGCCGCCUCUGCUUAUCACUCAUGCAUCCGUGUUGCUCUCUGCAGCUUAACAGUCGCUUCUCUUCGUCCUCAGGGAUUUGCAAGGAAUCGCAUGACAUCUAUUCUUUCAGUAAUGACACGGAGGACUCUUUGCCAUUUCUACCAAUAUCCUUUCACUGCAUUUUUCUUUUCUUCUUUAUUUCCGUUUUCUCCAUGUUUUGUCCUUUGUACUUUAAUCCGUGUUUUACUUCUCUACUUCUAUGUUUGUAGGCUGCAGAUUAUCUCUGUUGAAAUCAACUGAGAGAAAUUAUCUGCCUGAGAGGAUUCUUGUGCUUCAUAUUAUCCCUUCUUUUUAACUAAUCGCUAACCACUCUCAAUCUUCCUUUUCUGGAUCACCGCAACUUUUUCCAUUGAAGUAUACAUCUCACAUUUCAGCAGAAGAUGCAGAACCUAAUGCAUGACAUGGGUUGGGUUGGGAUGGUGUUGCUACAUAGAACGUAAGAAAAGCAGGUGUUGCAGUAUUUGAUCAGAGGGGUUUCUCUUCUUCAGACUUCAUGUCUUAAAUCAAGCAAGAUGCAUUUGGACUACUAUUUGAAGGGACGGAUUAAGUGAUUUAUUGUUAAUAAGUCACGUAACUUUAGUGUCAUCGAAACAUAUUUUAUUCAUUAUUGAAAAAGAUAAUUAAAAAAAUAAUCCAUUGACCAUUUCUUCUUAAGUGUUAA